GCAGUGGGCUGGGCAAGAUGAAGAGAAGCCCAUGCGUUCGGAAAACGCCAGCCCUGAUCCUAAUUCUUAGGUUUAAGGCUGCAUCCUUUUCGAUUCCAAUCAGGAGUAAAACCAGGAGUAAUGUUCUGCAGUGUGUGCUCAGCAUCAGCUAACAGGUUUCUGACUGUGUGAUAUUGAUGAUAUUGAUGAUAUUGAUUGUUUCUGUAAAUGAUUAGUUUGUUCCACUGUAAAGAACAGAGACUGUCUGGUAGAUCUCAGUCUCUCACACACAACACACACACAGUCAGUGUAGAAACACCGUAAAGACCCCGACACACUGACACCCCGACUAGCAGCAGCUCAGCUGUGUCUGAUUUCAUCUUCAUCUGAUUUCAGAGUGUCUGUAGCAGCUAUAAGGCAGCAUGUUCACCAUUCAGCUCCUGAUAGAAGUGUGGAUGAGUUUCUCACAGAGCUCACAGCUCACUAACACACACACAGUGCUCAGUUCUUUCAGUGGAAUAAGAGCUUUCAUACAGACAUGGAUUUUAAAGUGUAUUGACUGUUACUGUUUUAAAGGAAACUCUGACUGAUAAGACUUAUAUGCCUUAUAACAGUGUAAUAACGUCCAACACUGUUAUGAUGUACAAACCAAAGAAAAUGUUUUAUUUAUAAUAACAUAAAGAGAGAAAAUCUCUCUAGUACUAGUUCACCAUUGAGGCCCUGUGAUGAAGUCGCACUGGUCAUCUGGAAAAUAAGAUAAUUAAAAGUUACUCUUCUGGGUAAUUAAGGUUCUAGAUAAAGCUGGAAAGGUUCAGUUAGAUCUUUAGCUGAUUCCUAUUAGAGGGAUUUUCUCUAUUUUAACAGUAAAUAAUGUUUCGUUAAGUACUGGACAUCUAUACCCCACACUGAGGCCUGAAUAUCAGUCAGGGUUUGAUUUAAAUUUUUACAUCACCUUUAUUGUUAUUACUUUUAUUAGUUACUACUUUCUGUACUUAUAUUACUUAUUUACUAUUAUUACUAUUAUUACUUAUUUACCUGUAUUACUUUUAUUACUAUAUUACUUUCUUUAUUGAUAAUAGAGCUGCAAACUAACACAAAGCUCAUCCAGAUUACAGCUUUUUACUGCAUGUGUGAUUGUUAACAUUAGUAAUAGUAGGAGAAGUAAAGGUUUUGCCAGUAGUAUUGUGUCUUCUAUUGUCUGCUCAUCUUCUAUAUUGUCUGCAAAUAAGAGUUAAAUCAACAGAUGUAAAAUAUUUCCGGUCUUAUUUUGAAUGUGCUAUCACAAACAUCACUCAGAAUACGUGAACUGGCCAAUGAGACAGUGGGCAGUACAGAUAUUAAUGGUGUGUGAAAUAUGUUUGAGAAGUAGCAGUUUUAGUUCAGUCUGGCUGAUGUUCUUCUCUUCAGGAACCCAGUUAGGAAACAGAAGAGCAGCUUCAUUGUCUCUUUUUUUGUAUAGUUAAUUGCAUUUAUAAUUUGCUGCAAGUGCCUGAAAUUAUAACAAUGCAAGUCUCCUGGGUAAAUAAAGGCUUUUUGAAAGCUUAAA
Molecule: long non-coding RNA, 1525 nt
Organism: Colossoma macropomum (tambaqui)
Lineage: Eukaryota; Metazoa; Chordata; Actinopteri; Characiformes; Serrasalmidae
Exons: 2
Source: RefSeq, a predicted model, not a curated record